UUACAUUAAGAUACAUGUAUUUUAGUUAAGUUCUUUUUUUUUCUUUUUCCAGAAAACCCUGAAGCAUUACUGAAUGCUGUGUUUUUAAAUAAUGCAACAUACUUUGGUCUACGAGGUCGACAAGACCAUGUUAACAUGACAUGGGGAGAUGUCAAGUUAAAAGCUACAUCUGAUGGAAAGGAGUAUUUGGAAUUUAAUGAAAGAAGCACCAAAACCCGUAGUGGAGCAAAAAGCAGGGAUUUCCGGGAUAUUACUCCAAAGAUUUUCGGGGAAGGAGGAAGUAAUUGCCCUAUUCAUGUUUACAAGGAAUACAAACGGCAUAGACCUCAAAACACAUUAACUGAUGAACAUAGAUUUUAUUUGAGGCCUUUAGAUAAUAAACAUGAGGAAAUAUGAUAUUCUCGCCAAACCAUAGGCAAAGAUAAAUUAGGUAAAAUGGUAAAAAAUAUGGCAGAAAAAAGGAGAUCUUAAAGGAAGAAAGGUUAAUCAUUCGGGACGUAAAACUUUUGCUACCACACUUCUUCAAAAUGGUAGACCUGCCAAUGAAGUUGCUCAAUUAGGAGGCUGGAAAGGCAUUAGUACCUUAACUCAUUAUUCAGUACCGUCUAUUGAACAACAGCAACAAGCUUCUCACACAAUAUCUAAGGUCAUGUUGCCGAACUCAGAUUUACAGACGACAUCAGAUUCAGAAGAACCAUGUGAACUGUCAAACUCAAGUACAUUAGUUCAUAAUAAUCUAAAUGCAAAUGUAUCAAAUACAAAUAAUCAAACUGCUAACAAACAUGUCAACCCCAUGUCAAUGUUUGCAGGUGCAACUAUAACAGGUGGUGUUUUCAAUAUUAAUAUAUACUCAGGGGAAAGAAAGAAUACUAUAAACUGCAGCCAAGAGCUUUAAUCUGAAAAACUAGAUAAAAACAUGUUUUUACUUGUUGUGUUUAUUUACUGUUGAUUAUUCAGUAAAAUUGUUACUAUUUUAUUGUUUUGAUUAAAAUCCUAAAUUUUCA
Molecule: long non-coding RNA, 1004 nt
Organism: Mytilus californianus (California mussel)
Lineage: Eukaryota; Metazoa; Mollusca; Bivalvia; Mytilida; Mytilidae
Exons: 2
Source: RefSeq, a predicted model, not a curated record